This 483-nucleotide ribosomal RNA is filed under the name uncultured bacterium. RNAcentral's name for it is "bacterial SSU rRNA". It matches the Rfam family "Bacterial small subunit ribosomal RNA", at positions 30 to 507 of the family's 1533-position model. The record is from RNAcentral.
AUUGAACGCUGGCGGUAGGCCUAACACAUGCAAGUCGAACGGCAGCACGGACUUCGGUCUGGUGGCGAGUGGCGGACGGGUGAGGAAUACAUAGGAAUCUGCCCAGUCGUGGGGGAUAACGUAGGGAAACUUACGCUAAUACCGCAUACGACGGAGACGUGAAAGCAGGGGAUCUUCGGACCUUGCGCGAUUGGAUGAGCCUAUGUCGGAUUAGCUAGUUGGCGGGUAAAGGCCCACCAAGGCGACGAUCCGUAGCUGGUCUGAGAGGAUGAUCAGCCACACUGGAACUGAGACACGGUCCAGACUCCUACGGGAGGCAGCAGUGGGGAAUAUUGGACAAUGGGCGCAAGCCUGAUCCAGCCAUACCGCGUGGGUGAAGAAGGCCUUCGGGUUGUAAAGCCCUUUUGUACGGAAAGAAAGCUUCCAGGUUAAUACCCUGGGAGGAUGACGGUACCGUAAGAAUAAGCACCGGCUAACUUCGUG